AGUUCCUGGGUUGUAAGAUUACUGCGCUGUCGUAAACGCUGUUUAAAAAACUGAUGUUUUUAUGCAUCCUUAAACCACGAAAAGAUCAAUAUCGCGGUAUUGGUGGAGUAAAAAUGAGCAUUCAGACGCCAACAGGCCGACACUAGCGUUAUUUCCGGUUUACAAUGCGGACUACGUGACAUGGCGGAUCGACAUCGAGGGCGCUCUUCGCGUUUUCCUUUUUGAGAAAGUGCUCAGAGUUUUGGAAAUAGAGGAGGAGGGUGAACUACUGAGCCGGGAUUGAAGGGUCUUGGGGGCAGCAUCACUUUUGAAAGUUUGUCUCGGUAAUUUCCUGGAGUCUCCAAACCUCCAACUGGUCUGGUUUGUUUACAUUUUGGCCCAGGCGUGUAUGCGUUUUAUCAACCAUUUACGAGACAACGCGCUCCAGCUCUUCUGGCUGGUGUUUCGAGACUCGGUUCAGUAAAUAGAAUGUUACCGAGCCGGGUUGGAUCGGCACCAUCUGGAAACGGGUCACCUUCAGGCAGAGGUAACACAGGACACGGUUCGGGGAUUAUCGGCAGCGGGAUCCGUCCCGUUUUGGUCAGAGCAGGGCUAGCUUUACCGGGGGUCAGCGAGAGUGCCAGUGCUACCGGGCGACAGGGGGAAAGAGACGUCGUCGGGAUGCUGGGGGCUAAUGGUCCAGGGGGUCCGAGAGGUGCGAGACCGGGGAACGGAACUGGGGUGACUCCUCUACAGACCGCCGUCCAGGGCAACAUGGUGGGGCUAAACGCGGGAGUUGUGUUGCCUCACGGAGCCAGGUUCAACCCGGACAGAGAAAGUGCUCCUAUUUGCAGCGGCUCGGACAAUGACUCUGACUCCGGAGAUGAUGAUGACCCAGUGGGUUCACUCGGGGACAGCAGGAGAGGGGUGAAGCGGGAGAGAGGGGAGAUGGAAGCUGCGGUGACUGGGCAGGAGGUGGGAAUACCUCCCGGAGGUUACGGCAUGGUACCCGGAGGGGUCGCCGGGGCAAAGCCAGGGAAGAAAACACGUGGGCGAGUAAAGAUAAAGAUGGAAUUUAUUGACAACAAGUUGAGACGGUACACCACUUUCAGCAAGAGGAAGACUGGUAUUAUGAAAAAGGCCUAUGAACUCUCCACCCUGACGGGAACCCAGGUUCUGCUGCUUGUGGCCAGUGAAACGGGUCACGUCUACACUUUUGCCACCCGCAAACUCCAACCCAUGAUUACAAGUGAAACGGGCAAAGCUCUGAUCCAAACAUGCCUCAACUCGCCGGACUCGCCGCCGCGCUCUGACCCCUCCACGGACCAGCGCAUGAGUGCCACGGGCUUUGAGGAGACAGACCUCACCUAUCAGGUGUCUGAGUCGGAGAGCAUGGGCGACAUAAAGGAUACACUGAAGCCCACGUUCACGGUAGCUAGCCUACCAGGCAGCACCAGCAGCGCCCAGUGCACCGUGCCCACCACCUCCACCACCAUGCAGGUGAGCAGCGGACCUUCGUUUCCCAUCACCAACUACCUGGCGCCCGUCUCGGCCAGCGGCAACAUCAGUGCCAACGGCACCGUCCUCAAGACCGCUGGCGCCUCAGGAGUCAUGCAGCUGCCCGGGGGCUUCACUUUCAUGCCCGCAGGCACUCCUCUCCCCCCCGGCACCCCCACCAUUCCUCUGAGCCAGCUGCAGCAGCACUCCCUGGCCCUGCAGGGGCAGCAUGGUCAGACCCUGGCUGCCGCCCCGCAGUCACAGCAGGGACAGCAGGCUGUCUUCCGCUUCCCUGCUGCUGUCUCCCUCACAGGAGCAGGGGUUCCCCAGCAGCUCCAGGCUAUCACGGUACACCACAGCACCCAGUCCACCUCCAACAGCGACAGCAGCCUUGACAUCUGCCACACCUCCACAAACUCCACCGCGACGGUGAGUCUCCCAGCAACCAUCGUCACCUCGUCGGUGCCGACGUCUGUUGCGGGUCACAUGAUGUACCCCAGCCCGCACACAGUGAUGUACGCCUCCACGCCGGGGAUGACUGACGGGGGGCUGACCGUGCUCAACGCCUUCUCCCAGGGCACGUCGACCAUGCAGGUGUCCCACGCACAGGGCCAAGACUCAGGCGCGGUCCCUCAGGUGUUCCUCACAGCACCUCCAGGCACGCUGCAGAUCCCCGUCUCUGCGGUGCAGCUACACCCAGUACGGCAAGAUCUGCAUUUUACAAAUGGUGAUUGGCCAGCAGUCGAGCGGCAGCAGCAGUAACCUGACGGAGCUCCAGGUGGUCAACUUAGACGCAGCACAGAACUCAAAGAGUGACUGACAGACAGCUGGAGCUGUUUAACACGGCAGACCCAGGGAGACAGACUGACUUACAUACAUCUCUAUUUAUUGAUGCCUUCCUACAGCGUUUCACAUUACACUUCUGAAUGUGACUUUAAAUAUUAUUUUAUAUAUAUACACACACACAAGGGCGUAUGUGUGGCUGACCCUUAACGGUAUACAAAAAAAAUAUAUAUAUAUACACAUACACACACAAAUGCAUAGGAAAUAUAUCACAACAUCCAUCAUUGGAACCUAUUUUCUAUGCCGUAAGAUGUUGGUUUUUUUUUGUUUGCGCGUGCGUGUUUUUGUUGUUGAAAAUGUGUAAUUACAUGUACACACACACUGCAAGGUGCCACAGCUUCACACCAGCCAAAGAGACAUUUGUUUGUCUGAAUGUUCCAGUGUGAGCAACUUGUGCACAAAUGCGUGUGUGUGUGUGUGCACGCGCAUAUCUGGGGUUUGUAAAUGGGCAGGGAGACGCUUAUUGACUUAAAAAAAAGAGACAUUUGAAAAUGUACAUAGUUUUUUUUUUUUUUUUUUUUUUAUUGAUAACUUGUAUUUUUAGCCUGGUUUAGUUUGUGCGACGGCAUGUAGUUGUUUUUUACGUAGUGGUUUUGUAUGUACAUAAAUGAUUUGCAUAAAGAAAAAUAAUUAUUUACAUGUAUAUGUAAAUUAAUUUAAUAUACCAUCAUAUGUUGAUAUACUGUCAUGCUGUUGGGAGUUUUCACUACAAGAUGGAGAAGGAACGCUGGAUUAUUUCUACAUGUUUUGAUUGUGAUAUUUGUUGGACUGUCCCUCGAACAGGAUCAAGUAUCUGGGUCACAACAUGUAAAACACAAGAUAUGAUUUACUGUUAACAUCUUCUUUACUUUAGCUGGGAAGCUUUCAGUGCUGAUGACAUGAUCAGUUAGUAUCAGUUUUGCAUGUGAGGAUCUGGCACUUUCUUAGUUUGGAACCUGUUGACAAAUCGGAUGGACAUUUCAUUUAGCUCAACUUUUAACAUGAUAUAAUUAUUUACAUCAGUGUUAACACACACACAUUUGAAUACAAUUCUGUCAUCCUUAAAGUGAUUAGAAGAGUUUGUUCACUUAUUUAUAAAUGCCAACAAACAGGUUAUCGGAUAAAAACAUGAACUUCGUGUUUAAAAAAUGAUCCAGUCUCCACUUGACUGCAGAACUUUAAUUAUGUGAUGCUCUAUCUGACUUGAGUCAGGGCAUUGGACACAAAUCUCUUGUUUAACAAGACACUGUAUAGACUGCAGUUCCACUUCAGUGCUGCAAUCAAAGCAUCAUUGUUUCCUUGUCAAGCAGUCAGUUAUUCAGCGCAGUCGAAAUGCUGUAGUAUUACAACAGUAAUGCAUAUAAAUAUUUUUGUACGAACAAGGAUCUCUUAUGAAGGAAACGUGACUUCAGGUGCUUCAAAAAUGUUAAUCUACUUCUUGGAACUACAACUUAAGACCCUGGCUGACUGCAAUCUCAGCAUGUACCUCAGCAAUCAUUAACAAUGAGAGUUAUUAGACUGAGAGCCUUCUUUCUGCACCAUAGUGCCUCUUUUUCAUGGCUGAUUUCUAAAUCACUGCUAGGCAAGGGAAAUGUAGAAUUUACUUCUUUCCAGACCACCUCACAUGACUUUGGACUUUCAUGCAAUCCUCUGCUGUGCCCAGAGAUUUUUUUUGACUCAUUUCUACAGAAUUAGCAGGACGACUGAGCAUGCUGGCUUGAAGCCAAAGAGAAUUGGACAGACCCAUGCUGACUGCUGUUCAGUUAUUCACUGGCAAGAGAGGUCAUUUUCACACUUGUUCUCUGUUCUUGUACAUGAUGGCAUCAUCAUCCUGCAGGCUUGUUUGUGAAGGACAUUUACAGGUUAAAGACAUUCAAUCCCCCAAUAUUAUCUGGUGGUUUUUCAGAAAUAGUAUUUUAAAAGGCAAUUAUUGAAGAGAAUUUGUGGUUUUCACCUUGUCAUUAAGAAAAAUGGUUAUUGUGUGUAUUUUUGUUUUGUUGUACAGACAUUUUGUAAUAAAAAAACAUGGUGAAACACAAUGAACUGUUGAAAG
This is an RNA transcript of Sander lucioperca (pikeperch), 4351 nucleotides long. It is a transcript of the gene named serum response factor b, with no coding region annotated. The record is from RefSeq and is a predicted model, not a curated record. NCBI's taxonomy places the organism in Eukaryota, Metazoa, Chordata, Actinopteri, Perciformes, Percidae. The transcript has 9 exons.